This 449-nucleotide ribosomal RNA is filed under the name uncultured bacterium. Its description in RNAcentral is "bacterial SSU rRNA". It matches the Rfam family "Bacterial small subunit ribosomal RNA", at positions 355 to 825 of the family's 1533-position model. The record is from RNAcentral.
UGGGGAAUAUUGGACAAUGGGCGAAAGCCUGAUCCAGCAAUGCCGCGUGAGUGAUGAAGGCCUUAGGGUUGUAAAGCUCUUUUACCAGGGAUCCGAUAAUGACAGUACCUGGAGAAUAAGCUCCGGCUAACUCCGUGCCAGCAGCCGCGGUAAUACGGAGGGAGCUAGCGUUGUUCGGAAUUACUGGGCGUAAAGCGUACGUAGGCGGUGACUCAAGUCAGAGGUGAAAGCCUGGAGCUCAACUCCAGAACUGCCUUUGAAACUAGGUCGCUAGAAUCACGGAGAGGUGAGUGGAAUUCCGAGUGUAGAGGUGAAAUUCGUAGAUAUUCGGAAGAACACCAGUGGCGAAGGCGACUUGCUGGACUUAUGGUGACGCUGAGACGCGAAAGCGUGGGGAGCAAACAGGAUUAGAUACCCAAGUAGUCCCUGAGCGGGCUGGCAAGGCGCAU